This 336-nucleotide unclassified non-coding RNA is filed under the name soil metagenome. RNAcentral describes it as "partial contains 5.8S ribosomal RNA, internal transcribed spacer 2, and large subunit ribosomal RNA". The stretch from base 1 to 120 matches the Rfam family "5.8S ribosomal RNA", at positions 35 to 154 of the family's 154-position model. The record is from RNAcentral.
GAUGAAGAACGUAGCGAAAUGCGAUAAGUAAUGUGAAUUGCAGAAUUCAGUGAAUCAUCGAAUCUUUGAACGCACAUUGCGCCCGCCAGUAUUCUGGCGGGCAUGCCUGUUCGAGCGUCAUUUCAACCAUCAAGCCCCCGGCUUGUGUUGGGGACCUGCGGCUGCCGCAGGCCCUGAAAGGCAGUGGCGGGCUCGCUGUCACACCGAGCGUAGUAGCAUACAUCUCGCUCUGGGCGUGCUGCGGGUUCCGGCCGUUAAACCACCUUCAUAACCCAAGGUUGACCUCGGAUCAGGUAGGAAGACCCGCUGAACUUAAGCAUAUCAAUAAGCGGAGGA